GAAUUUUCCACAAUGGGCGAAAGCCUGAUGGAGCAACGCCGCGUGCAGGAUUAAGGCCCUUGGGUUGUAAACUGCUUUUAUAAGUGACGAUUAUGACGGUACCUAACGAAUAAGCACCGGCUAACUCCGUGCCAGCAGCCGCGGUAAUACGGAGGGUGCAAGCGUUAUCCGGAUUUACUGGGUUUAAAGGGUGCGUAGGCGGCCUGAUAAGUCAGUGGUGAAAGCUCUCAGCUUAACUGGGAAACUGCCAUUGAAACUGUUAGGCUUGAGUACAAUUGAAGUGGGCGGAAUACAUCAUGUAGCGGUGAAAUGCUUAGAUAUGAUGUAGAACACCGAUUGCGAAGGCAGCUCACUAAAUUGCAACUGACGCUGAGGCACGAAAGCGUGGGUAGCGAA
RNAcentral lists this ribosomal RNA (396 nucleotides) under uncultured bacterium. RNAcentral's name for it is "bacterial SSU rRNA". It matches the Rfam family "Bacterial small subunit ribosomal RNA", at positions 359 to 772 of the family's 1533-position model. The record is from RNAcentral.